This 19-nucleotide small nuclear RNA is filed under the name Arabidopsis thaliana (thale cress). RNAcentral describes it as "snRNA_08309". Lineage: Eukaryota; Viridiplantae; Streptophyta; Magnoliopsida; Brassicales; Brassicaceae. The record is from RNAcentral.
CCCAUUAUAAGGCUCAUCA